RNAcentral lists this transfer RNA (76 nucleotides) under bacterium. Its description in RNAcentral is "tRNA-Lys". It matches the Rfam family "tRNA". From Rfam's summary of the family: Transfer RNA (tRNA) molecules are approximately 80 nucleotides in length. Their secondary structure includes four short double-helical elements and three loops (D, anti-codon, and T loops). Further hydrogen bonds mediate the characteristic L-shaped molecular structure. tRNAs have two regions of fundamental functional importance: the anti-codon, which is responsible for specific mRNA codon recognition, and the 3' end, to which the tRNAs corresponding amino acid is attached (by aminoacyl-tRNA synthetases). tRNAs cope with the degeneracy of the genetic code in two manners: having more than one tRNA (with a specific anti-codon) for a particular amino acid; and 'wobble' base-pairing, i.e. permitting non-standard base-pairing at the 3rd anti-codon position. The record is from RNAcentral. RNAcentral also lists the same sequence under 5 other names.
GGGCCGUUAGCUCAGGUGGUAGAGCACCUGACUUUUAAUCAGGGUGUCACAGGUUCGAGUCCUGUACGGCCCACCA